CCGCUCCCAGCUGCCCAGUCUGGCGGGCUCAGUCCCGCGUUGCCAUGUGUGGGAGACCGCGUCCCGAAAGAGCUCCACCUUCGCUGGAGUGUGCAGAUGCGAUCUAGGUGUGUCCACCCGAUGGGAGCUGCGGGCCGGGCAGAUGCUGCCCCAGUACAAAGCUGAUUUGGACCUGGGGCCUCUGGACUUCCCUGAUUCUCUGCUUGCAUCUCCAGCAAAGUCCUGUCCCAUUGGCUGCCUUCAUCCACUCUCUCGCCUCUCUGCCUUCAGAGUAAAAUUGCAAGAUCUGUGGUGCUUACUGGGAUCUGAUAGAGUCUCUCGGCAUCCACUGUCUAUGCAGCGGGUGUCCACCUGCAGCGGGGGGCCAUGUGCAGCGGGGGGCCACGUGCAGUGUGUGCCUCUUCUUAGCCAUGCUGGACAGCGCCGCCCCUGAAAAGCAGCUCCCCUGUUUCACCCAGAAAGCCAUCCAGAACCUCCUGGAAAAGGUGGCCUGAUGGCCAGGUGGCCUGAUGGCCAAGUGGCCUGGGAUGCCAGGAUCAAUCCUUUGAACUUUUCCUGUGGGCUGUCAGGACCCAUAGAAGGUCUUUGAGCAGCUCAUAGGUCUCUGAAUCAAGAGAAGCCACAUCUGGACCUGAUAUAGAAGAGACUAUUAGAGAUCCUGGGCUUGAGGCUGAUUCCAUGUCAGAUGGGUCACUUAGGUGGUCUCCCUUGGGAAGGGGAUGCAUUUAUUUUGCAUAUGGAAGAAAAUGCAAAGGCAAUAUUUGUAAGGAAGAGGGCAGACGGGGGAAGAUUUUAUAAUUGUUCAAAAACAUUCACUGGGAUGUGUGUGGUGGCUCACGCCUAUAAUCCCAGUGCUUUGGGAGGGUGAAGCAGGAGGAUCACUUGAGGCCAGG
RNAcentral lists this long non-coding RNA (893 nucleotides) under Pan troglodytes (chimpanzee). RNAcentral's name for it is "long non-coding RNA NONPTRT006002". The record is from RNAcentral. Lineage: Eukaryota; Metazoa; Chordata; Mammalia; Primates; Hominidae.